This 429-nucleotide ribosomal RNA is filed under the name Bacteroidota bacterium. RNAcentral describes it as "Bacteroidetes bacterium partial 16S ribosomal RNA". It matches the Rfam family "Bacterial small subunit ribosomal RNA", at positions 355 to 776 of the family's 1533-position model. Lineage: Bacteria; Pseudomonadati; Bacteroidota. The record is from RNAcentral.
UAGGGAAUCUUUCGCAAUGGGCGAAAGCCUGACGGAGCAACGCCGCGUGAGUGAUGAAGGUCUUCGGAUCGUAAAACUCUGUUAUUAGGGAAGAAUAAAUGUGUAAGUAACUAUGCACGUCUUGACGGUACCUAAUCAGAAAGCCACGGCUAACUACGUGCCAGCAGCCGCGGUAAUACGUAGGUGGCAAGCGUUAUCCGGAAUUAUUGGGCGUAAAGCGCGCGUAGGCGGUUUUUUAAGUCUGAUGUGAAAGCCCACGGCUCAACCGUGGAGGGUCAUUGGAAACUGGAAAACUUGAGUGCAGAAGAGGAAAGUGGAAUUCCAUGUGUAGCGGUGAAAUGCGCAGAGAUAUGGAGGAACACCGGUGGCGAAAGCGGCUCUCUGGUCUGUAACUGACGCGGAGGCUCGAAAGCGUGGGGAGCGAACAGG